CAGCCGCCGCGGUAAAACGGAGGGGGCUAGCGUUGUUCGGAAUUACUGGGCGUAAAGCGCACGUAGGCGGACUGGAAAGUCAGAGGUGAAAUCCCAAGGCUCAACCUUGGAACUGCCUUUGAAACUAUCAGUCUGGAGUUCGAGAGAGGUGAGUGGAAUUCCGAGUGUAGAGGUGAAAUUCGUAGAUAUUCGGAGGAACACCAGUGGCGAAGGCGGCUCACUGGCUCGAUACUGACGCUGAGGUGCGAAAGCGUGGGGAGCAAACAGGAUUAGAUACCCCCGUAGUCCCUGUCUCUUAUAC
This 301-nucleotide ribosomal RNA is filed under the name uncultured bacterium. RNAcentral's name for it is "partial 16S ribosomal RNA". It matches the Rfam family "Bacterial small subunit ribosomal RNA", at positions 509 to 807 of the family's 1533-position model. The record is from RNAcentral.